RNAcentral lists this transfer RNA (73 nucleotides) under Diaphorina citri (Asian citrus psyllid). It matches the Rfam family "tRNA". From Rfam's summary of the family: Transfer RNA (tRNA) molecules are approximately 80 nucleotides in length. Lineage: Eukaryota; Metazoa; Arthropoda; Insecta; Hemiptera; Psyllidae. The record is from Rfam by way of RNAcentral.
GCCUAGUUCGAGCGGAGGGUAGCGCUCCUGCUUUGUAAGCACUAGGCCGCGGGUUUGAUUCCCGCCCGGGGCG